This 286-nucleotide ribosomal RNA is filed under the name Cronartium comandrae. Its description in RNAcentral is "partial large subunit ribosomal RNA". Lineage: Eukaryota; Fungi; Basidiomycota; Pucciniomycetes; Pucciniales; Coleosporiaceae. The record is from RNAcentral.
GAGAGUUACAGUACGUGAAAUUGUUAAAAGGGAAACAUUUGAAGUUAGACUUGUUAUUGUUGGUUCAACUUUUUUCUAAAAAGGUGUAUUCCAAUGGUUAACAGACCAGCAUCAAUUUUUGGGUGUUAGAUAAGGGUCUUGAGAAUGUAGCAACCUUGGUUGUGUUAUAGCUCAUGUACUUUGAUAUAAUGCUUAGGAUUGAGGAAYGCAGUGAGCUUUUUAUUAAGUGGAUCCCUAUGGGGAUCUUCUCACUACGGAUGUUGGUGUAAUAGCUUUAAAUGACCCA